AGGACGAACGCUGGCGGCGUGCUUAACACAUGCAAGUCGAGGGCAUUGAGCCCGCAAGGGCUUGGUGACCGGCGAACGGGUGCGUAACACGUGAGCGACCUACCCGCUUGAGGGGGGAUAGCCGGCCCAACGGCCGGGUAAUACCGCAUACGCUCUUCUGGGGGCAUCUCUGGGAGAGGAAAACUCAGGUGCAGGCGGAGGGGCUCGCGGCCUAUCAGCUAGUUGGCGGGGUAACGCCCACCAAGGCAUCGACGGGUAGC
This 260-nucleotide ribosomal RNA is filed under the name uncultured bacterium. RNAcentral describes it as "partial small subunit ribosomal RNA". It matches the Rfam family "Bacterial small subunit ribosomal RNA", at positions 26 to 287 of the family's 1533-position model. The record is from RNAcentral.